This 248-nucleotide ribosomal RNA is filed under the name uncultured bacterium. Its description in RNAcentral is "partial 16S ribosomal RNA". It matches the Rfam family "Bacterial small subunit ribosomal RNA", at positions 524 to 771 of the family's 1533-position model. The record is from RNAcentral.
UACGAAGGGUGCAAGCGUUACUCGGAAUUACUGGGCGUAAAGGGUGCGUAGGUGGUUUUUUAAGUCCGUUGUGAAAUCCCUGGGCUCAACCUGGGAAUGGCAGUGGAUACUGGAAAGCUAGAGUGCGGUAGAGGGUAGUGGAAUUCCCGGUGUAGCAGUGAAAUGCGUAGAGAUCGGGAGGAACACCAGUGGCGAAGGCGGCUACCUGGACCAGCACUGACACUGAGGCACGAAAGCGUGGGGAGCAA